This 240-nucleotide ribosomal RNA is filed under the name uncultured bacterium. RNAcentral's name for it is "partial 16S ribosomal RNA". It matches the Rfam family "Bacterial small subunit ribosomal RNA", at positions 524 to 765 of the family's 1533-position model. The record is from RNAcentral.
UACAGAGGGUGCUAGCGUUGUUCGGAAUCAUUGGGCGUAAAGGGCGUGUAGGCGGUUUGUUAAGUCAUGUGUGAAAUCCCUCGGCUCAACCGGGGAACGACGCAUGAAACUGGCAGCUAGAGUACCAAAGAGGGGGUGGAAUUCCGGUGUAGCGGUGAAAUGCGUAGAUAAUCGGGAGGAACACCUGUGGCGAAGGCGGCCCCCUGGUUGGAUACUGACGCUGAUACGCGAAAGCGUGGG